This 253-nucleotide ribosomal RNA is filed under the name uncultured bacterium. RNAcentral's name for it is "partial 16S ribosomal RNA". It matches the Rfam family "Bacterial small subunit ribosomal RNA", at positions 524 to 776 of the family's 1533-position model. The record is from RNAcentral.
UACGUAGGGUGCAAGCGUUAAUCGGAAUUACUGGGCGUAAAGCGUGCGCAGGCGGUUAUGUAAGACAGGUGUGAAAUCCCCGGGCUUAACCUGGGAACUGCAUUGGAAACUAACGGGCUCGAGUGUGGCAGAGGGGGGUGGAAUUCCACGUGUAGCAGUGAAAUGCGUAGAGAUGUGGAGGAACACCGAUGGCGAAGGCAGCCCCCUGGGCUAACACUGACGCUCAGGCACGAAAGCGUGGGGAGCAAACAGG